This 527-nucleotide ribosomal RNA is filed under the name uncultured bacterium. Its description in RNAcentral is "bacterial SSU rRNA". It matches the Rfam family "Bacterial small subunit ribosomal RNA", at positions 75 to 595 of the family's 1533-position model. The record is from RNAcentral.
GCAGCUUGCUGCUUUGCUGACGAGUGGCGGACGGGUGAGUAAUGUCUGGGAAACUGCCCGAUGGAGGGGGAUAACUACUGGAAACGGUAGCUAAUACCGCAUAACGUCGCAAGACCAAAGAGGGGGACCUUCGGGCCUCUUGCCAUCGGAUGUGCCCAGAUGGGAUUAGCUAGUAGGUGGGGUAAAGGCUCACCUAGGCGACGAUCCCUAGCUGGUCUGAGAGGAUGACCAGCCACACUGGAACUGAGACACGGUCCAGACUCCUACGGGAGGCAGCAGUGGGGAAUAUUGCACAAUGGGCGCAAGCCUGAUGCAGCCAUGCCGCGUGUAUGAAGAAGGCCUUCGGGUUGUAAAGUACUUUCAGCGGGGAGGAAGGGAGUAAAGUUAAUACCUUUGCUCAUUGACGUUACCCGCAGAAGAAGCACCGGCUAACUCCGUGCCAGCAGCCGCGGUAAUACGGAGGGUGCAAGCGUUAAUCGGAAUUACUGGGCGUAAAGCGCACGCAGGCGGUUUGUUAAGUCAGAUGU